UAUCUUGUCAUGGUGGAAAGCUCAUUCUCCUAGAUAUAAAAUUCUUUCCGAGAUGGCUCGUGAUGUGUUGGCAAUUCCAAUUUCUAGUGUGGCAUCGGAAUGUGCCUUUAGCACGGGGCCGUAUUCUUGAUUCGUUUAGGAGUUCUUUGACUCCGAAAUUGGUGCAAGUCGUUAUUUGUCUUCAAGAUUGGCGUCAAAAUGAGCCUUAUCCCAUAAAGGUUGAAGAAGAUUUUAAUGAUCUUAUGAAACUUGAACUUGAUAUGGCUGAUAGCUCAAAAGAUUCCCUCGUUCUUGAUUUGUAAUCGCAAGAUGCCUCAGGUUCAAGAGGAGUUGAGUAUUUUGGAAAGGAAAGCAUCACCGAUAGAGGAAAUAACAAAAGAAAAUAUGAAAAUGCAGGAGUUAGCCAUAUAUCCUUGAAUGCUUAUUGUUUGGGCUCUUCUACCGAAAGUUAAUUAUUUAUUAGAUUAGCUCAUUGGUGGAGGAGAAAUGAAUCUACUCACUCCCCCUAUACUUCCUAAAGAACAAAUGUAAUGGAAGUCUGUACAAUGAAACGUGCUUUCACCACAAGGAUAGUUGUAUUUCUGUUCUUUCAGCUGUUUAUGGCAUUGCUAAAGAAGACAGUUAAUGUACUUGCCUCUGAUAUCCUAAUGAAAUUGUGUGUAUAUGAAGGCUUCAACCUAAUCAAUUUCUUGUUUGACACCUUAAGCAGUGAAGUUCCUGUGAUGUAAUACAGUGGACUUCGACUUCAAUAUGGUAUUACCGAAUACCGUACCGAACCGAAGUUUAAUUUACCGAUUACCGAAUUACCGAACCGAAGUUUGAAAGUUCGGUAUUUGGUAUCUAUUUUCAAUUACCGAAUACCGAAUUACCGAUCCCGAACUUCAAAAAUACCGAACCGAAUACCGAACGCCCACCCC
Long non-coding RNA from Lycium ferocissimum, 917 nucleotides. RefSeq lists it as uncharacterized. NCBI's taxonomy places the organism in Eukaryota, Viridiplantae, Streptophyta, Magnoliopsida, Solanales, Solanaceae. The transcript is spliced from 3 exons. The record is from RefSeq and is a predicted model, not a curated record.